Molecule: ribosomal RNA, 484 nt
Filed under: uncultured bacterium
Lineage: Bacteria
Description: partial 16S ribosomal RNA
Rfam family: Bacterial small subunit ribosomal RNA
Source: RNAcentral
AUUGAACGCUGGCGGCAUGCUUUACACAUGCAAGUCGAACGGCAGCGCGGGCUUCGGCCUGGCGGCGAGUGGCGAACGGGUGAGUAAUACAUCGGAACGUGCCCAGUAGUGGGGGAUAGCUCGGCGAAAGCCGGAAUAAUACCGCAUACGACCUGAGGGUGAAAGCGGGGGAUCUUCGGACCUCGCGCUAUUGGAGCGGCCGAUGGCAGAUUAGCUAGUUGGUGGGGUAAAGGCCUACCAAGGCGACGAUCUGUAGCUGGUCUGAGAGGACGACCAGCCACACUGGGACUGAGACACGGCCCAGACUCCUACGGGAGGCAGCAGUGGGGAAUUUUGGACAAUGGGCGAAAGCCUGAUCCAGCAAUGCCGCGUGUGUGAUGAAGGCCUUCGGGUUGUAAAGCACUUUUGGCGGGAACGAAAAGGACUGUGCCAAUACCACGGUUCGAUGACGGUACCCGCAGAAUAAGCACCGGCUAACUACGUG